RNAcentral lists this microRNA precursor (79 nucleotides) under Tetranychus urticae (two-spotted spider mite). RNAcentral describes it as "mir-5729 microRNA precursor family". It matches the Rfam family "mir-5729 microRNA precursor family". The record is from Rfam by way of RNAcentral. Lineage: Eukaryota; Metazoa; Arthropoda; Arachnida; Trombidiformes; Tetranychidae.
UUACCCUGACCAUUGGUAAGAGAAGCAAAGGCCAAGGGUGACGACCCUUAGGUCUGCGGAUCGAACCCUGUCAGGGUAG